AAUGUCGUAACAAGGGUUUCCGUAGGUGAACCUGCGGAAGGAUCAUUACCGAGUUAGGGUUCUAUUCCAGGCCCCAGACCUCCAACCCUGUGUUUACAUUACCAUGUUGCUUUGGCGGGCCCGCUCUUCGGGGUCCGCCGGGGGAUUUUAUCACCCCUGGCCCGUGCUCGCCGGUGGCCUUAUUAAAUUGCUUUUUUCAACUGUGAUGUCUGAGUCUAAAUUAUAAACUCGUUAAAAU
Molecule: unclassified non-coding RNA, 238 nt
Filed under: plant metagenome
Description: partial contains small subunit ribosomal RNA and internal transcribed spacer 1
Rfam family: Eukaryotic small subunit ribosomal RNA (bases 1-48)
Source: RNAcentral